AACUUUUAGCAAUGGAUCUCUUGGUCUCGCAUCGAUUAAGAACGCAGCGAAAUGCGAUAAGUAAUGUGAAUUGCAGAAUUCAAUGAAUCAUCGAAUCUUUGAACGCCUCUUGCGCUCCUUGGUAUUUCGAGGAGCAUGCCUGUUUGAGUGUCCUUCGACUUGUCAACCGCAUCAAUUGCGAUGGGGCUUGGAUGUGGGGGUUCUUUGCAGGCUCUCUCUUUCAUAAGAGGUCGGCUCCCCUGAAAUGCAUUAGUGGUAUCUGAGCAGAACUACUACCGUCAGGUGUGAUAAAUUAUCUAUGCCUUUGGGUAUGCUGCAUGAACAGAUUGUGCUGCUGAUAGAGAUAUGGGAAAUUGUUUGACGAAUUUGACCUCAAAUCAGGUAGGACUACCCGCUGAACUUAAGCAUAUCAAUAAGCGGAGGCU
This 425-nucleotide unclassified non-coding RNA is filed under the name uncultured Inocybe. RNAcentral's name for it is "sequence contains ITS2". The stretch from base 1 to 153 matches the Rfam family "5.8S ribosomal RNA". Lineage: Eukaryota; Fungi; Basidiomycota; Agaricomycetes; Agaricales; Cortinariaceae. The record is from RNAcentral.